UACAGAGGGGGCAAGCGUUGUUCGGAAUUACUGGGCGUAAAGGGCGCGUAGGUGGCCAACUAAGUCAGACGUGAAAUCCCUCGGCUUAACCGGGGAACUGCGUCUGAUACUGGAUGGCUUGAGUUCGGGAGAGGGAUGCGGAAUUCCAGGUGUAGCGGUGAAAUGCGUAGAUAUCUGGAGGAACACCGGUGGCGAAGGCGGCAUCCUGGACCGACACUGACACUGAGGAGCGAAAGCCAGGGGAGCAAACGGG
RNAcentral lists this ribosomal RNA (253 nucleotides) under uncultured bacterium. RNAcentral describes it as "partial 16S ribosomal RNA". It matches the Rfam family "Bacterial small subunit ribosomal RNA", at positions 524 to 776 of the family's 1533-position model. The record is from RNAcentral.